AAGUCGUAACAAGGUUUCCGUAGGUGAACCUGCGGAAGGAUCAUUAUUGAAAUAAACCUGAUGGGUUGUUGCUGGCUCUCUAGGGAGCAUGUGCACACUUGUCAUCUUUAUAUCUCCACCUGUGCACCUUCUGUAGAUCUGAAUAGCUUUCUGAAUGCUUAGCAUUUGGGUUUGGAGAUUGACUUUUCUGUCUCUCUUUAUCUUCAGGUCUAUGUUUCUCCAUAUACCCCUAUGUAUGUUAUAGAAUGUAAUAAAUGGGCCUUUGUGCCUAUAAAUUUAUACAACUUUCAGCAACGGAUCUCUUGGUUCUC
Molecule: unclassified non-coding RNA, 311 nt
Filed under: Cortinarius fulvescens
Lineage: Eukaryota; Fungi; Basidiomycota; Agaricomycetes; Agaricales; Cortinariaceae
Description: partial internal transcribed spacer region
Rfam family: Eukaryotic small subunit ribosomal RNA (bases 1-46)
Source: RNAcentral